AAAAAGUUUAAUUUUGGCUUAAAAAAUUAUUUUUAUUUUAUUUUAUAUAAAAAAUUUUUUUUUAUAUAAUAUUUUUUUUAAAAUAAAAUAUUUUUUAAUUUAUAAUAUAUAUAUAUAUAUAUAUAUAUUAAAUAUUAAGAUAAUAAAAUUAGUAAAUAAAUUUAUUUGUUGAGUGAAAUCUUGAAAUAGUAAAUUAAUUAAUAUUAGUUAAAAUUGUGCCAGCAUCUGCGGUUAGACAAUUAAAUAUAAAUAAUUUAAAUCAAUUAUAGUUAAGAUUAAAUUUAAAAUAUAAAAUUUUAUUUUUUAAGUUAAAUUUUAAAUAAAAUAAAUUAUUUAUUUAUUAAUUUUAAAAAAUUCUAAAACUAAAAAAUUUUUAAAAUUAAACUAGGAUUAGAUACCCUAUUAUAAAUUAAUGUAAGUUAAUUAAUGAUUAUAUUAUUUAUAGUUAUGAUCUUAAAAUUUAAAAAAUUUGGCGGUAUUUUAUUCUAUUCAGAGGAACUUGUUUUAUAAUUGAUAUUACACAAUUAAUCUUACUUAAUUUAUUAAAAUUUGUAUAUCGUUGUCAUAUCGAAUAUCUUAGAAAAGUUAUUAUAUUUAAUAUUCUAAAAUUUAUACUAUAAAUCAUGUCAAAUCAAGGUGCAGUUUAUAAUUAAGAAAAAAUGAGUUACAAUAAUUUAGGUUUAAACGGACUAAUAAAUGAAAAUUUAUUAUAAAGGUGGAUUUGAUAGUAAAUAAAUAAAUAUAGAUUUAUUGAUAUAAGUAUUAAAAUAUGCACAUAUCGCCCGUCAUUCUAAUUUUUGGAUUAGACAAGUCGUAACAUAGUAAAGGUACUGGAAAGUGUUUUUAGUUUCAA
RNAcentral lists this non-coding RNA (853 nucleotides) under Pseudolycoriella hygida. The record is from RNAcentral. Lineage: Eukaryota; Metazoa; Arthropoda; Insecta; Diptera; Sciaridae.